GAUCCUGGCUCAGGACGAACGCUGGCGGCGCGCCUAACACAUGCAAGUCGAACGGAGCUGAGAGGAGCUUGCUUUUCUUAGCUUAGUGGCGAACGGGUGAGUAACGCGUGAGUAACCUGCCCUGGAGUGGGGGACAACAGUUGGAAACGACUGCUAAUACCGCAUAAGCCCACGGUGCCGCAUGGCACUGCGGGAAAAGGAUUUAUUCGCUUCAGGAUGGACUCGCGUCCAAUUAGCUAGUUGG
RNAcentral lists this ribosomal RNA (244 nucleotides) under uncultured bacterium. RNAcentral's name for it is "partial 16S ribosomal RNA". It matches the Rfam family "Bacterial small subunit ribosomal RNA", at positions 15 to 252 of the family's 1533-position model. The record is from RNAcentral.